ACUGCCGGCGACUGAAUGCCGAAAAUAGGGACUAUAUCCACCUGUAACCAUUUUUCGACUGCGGAACCAACAACCGCCCCGACGACAAGUCCUCCAACAGUUAUCAGUGUUGCUUUCCCUAGACUAAUGCUCUUUCUGGUCAAGAAAUAGAUUGAAGCGCCAAAGCCAGCAGCCAAGAUUAUCCCCGGAACAUCAGCUCCAGUGGAUAUCCCAGCUGAAGAUGUUGAGG
RNAcentral lists this unclassified non-coding RNA (229 nucleotides) under Hevea brasiliensis (rubber tree). Lineage: Eukaryota; Viridiplantae; Streptophyta; Magnoliopsida; Malpighiales; Euphorbiaceae. The record is from RNAcentral.